UUUACUUUGAAAAAGCCUCUGUUCCUCUCACACUUACUUAAAGUUUCAAGCUACUGCUUCUGGAUUGACUUGCUUCUCUGCUCUCCUACUGAAUUAUCUCUCAUACUUUUUACAGGGUAGGUCUAGGUUUUCUGUUCAUUUCUGUGGGAAAUUACUUGUCCGUACUGUAAGAAGACACAUCUUUGGUAGUCAUUUAGCCAUGUUACUGUACCAGUUCAUUUAAUUUCUCUGUUCCUCUUUUUAGAUCUGAAGAUCCCUGGAAAACCUAUAUUGUUUUACACCUAUAAUUCAGUGGUGGUGACCUCUGCUGCUUGUGAUGGAUGCUGGCCAAAAGUGAAGACAUUCCAUAGUUGGAGAUCUGAUCACCAGCUCUUCUAGUGACAGAUUGGAGCUGACAGCACUGCGAUCAGCAAUGCCACAAAGCAGUUAAUGAUGAUCAGGCUGCUCUGCCCUCCAGACUCACCAGACAGGGAAGUUGUGAAGAAGAGAAGUGAAGAUUGCUCUGUUGUGCUGCAUACUAAAUCAGGAAGUAUUUGCUACUGAUGCCACAGGAGCAGAGAUAUCCAGCACAGCAAUAGAAGGCACAAUGGGAAAGUUAGACAAUGAACCUUCAGACAGAAGAUCCUAUGGAAUAUUCCUAUUGUGGAAAAAGA
Molecule: long non-coding RNA, 653 nt
Filed under: Numida meleagris (helmeted guineafowl)
Lineage: Eukaryota; Metazoa; Chordata; Aves; Galliformes; Numididae
Description: lncRNA (ENSNMEG00000009729.1)
Source: RNAcentral